CCUACGGGGGGCAGCAGUGAGGAAUAUUGGUCAAUGGACGAGAGUCUGAACCAGCCAAGUAGCGUGAAGGAUGACUGCCCUAUGGGUUGUAAACUUCUUUUAUAUGGGAAUAAAACGUUCCACGUGUGGGAUUUUGUAUGUACCAUAUGAAUAAGGAUCGGCUAACUCCGUGCCAGCAGCCGCGGUAAUACGGAGGAUCCGAGCGUUAUCCGGAUUUAUUGGGUUUAAAGGGCGCGUAGGUGGAUUGUUAAGUCAGUUGUGAAAGUUUGCGGCUCAACCGUAAAAUUGCAGUUGAAACUGGCAGUCUUGAGUACAGUAGAGGUGGGCGGAAUUCGUGGUGUAGCGGUGAAAUGCUUAGAUAUCACGAAGAACUCCGAUUGCGAAGGCAGUUCACUGGACUGCAACUGACACUGAGGCUCGAAAGUGUGGGUAUCAAACAGGAUUAGAUACCCUUGUAGUC
This 460-nucleotide ribosomal RNA is filed under the name uncultured bacterium. Its description in RNAcentral is "partial 16S ribosomal RNA". It matches the Rfam family "Bacterial small subunit ribosomal RNA", at positions 338 to 795 of the family's 1533-position model. The record is from RNAcentral.